This 465-nucleotide ribosomal RNA is filed under the name uncultured Syntrophobacter sp. RNAcentral's name for it is "bacterial SSU rRNA". It matches the Rfam family "Bacterial small subunit ribosomal RNA", at positions 338 to 795 of the family's 1533-position model. Lineage: Bacteria; Pseudomonadati; Thermodesulfobacteriota; Syntrophobacteria; Syntrophobacterales; Syntrophobacteraceae. The record is from RNAcentral.
CCUACGGGUGGCUGCAGUGAGGAAUUUUGCGCAAUGGCCGCAAGGCUGACGCAGCAACGCCGCGUGGGUGAUGAAGGCCUUCGGGUCGUAAAGCCCUGUCAGGUGGGAAGAAAGGCCUUGAUAAGAAACGGUUGAGGUUUGACGGUACCACCAGAGGAAGCACCGGCUAACUCCGUGCCAGCAGCCGCGGUAAUACGGAGGGUGCGAGCGUUAUUCGGAAUUACUGGGCGUAAAGCGCGUGUAGGCGGGGAUGCAAGUCUGAUGUGAAAGCCCUGGGCUUAACCUGGGAAGUGCAUUGGAAACUGCAUUUCUUGAGUACUGGAGAGGAAGGGGGAAUUCCCGGUGUAGAGGUGAAAUUCGUAGAGAUCGGGAGGAAUACCAGUGGCGUAGGCGCCCUUCUGGACGGUAACUGACGCUGAGACGCGAAAGCGUGGGGAGCAAACAGGAUUAGAUACCCUUGUAGUC